RNAcentral lists this ribosomal RNA (580 nucleotides) under Debaryomyces hansenii. RNAcentral describes it as "eukaryotic LSU rRNA". It matches the Rfam family "Eukaryotic large subunit ribosomal RNA", at positions 33 to 630 of the family's 3401-position model. The record is from RNAcentral. Lineage: Eukaryota; Fungi; Ascomycota; Pichiomycetes; Serinales; Debaryomycetaceae.
UUGCCAUAUUUCCAAAAACGGAGGAAAAGAAACCAACAGGGAUUGCCUUAGUAACGGCGAGUGAAGCGGCAAAAGCUCAAAUUUGAAAUCUGGCACCUUCGGUGUCCGAGUUGUAAUUUGAAGAAGGUAACUUUGGAGUUGGCUCUUGUCUAUGUUCCUUGGAACAGGACGUCACAGAGGGUGAGAAUCCCGUGCGAUGAGAUGCCCAAUUCUAUGUAAAGUGCUUUCGAAGAGUCGAGUUGUUUGGGAAUGCAGCUCUAAGUGGGUGGUAAAUUCCAUCUAAAGCUAAAUAUUGGCGAGAGACCGAUAGCGAACAAGUACAGUGAUGGAAAGAUGAAAAGAACUUUGAAAAGAGAGUGAAAAAGUACGUGAAAUUGUUGAAAGGGAAGGGCUUGAGAUCAGACUUGGUAUUUUGCGAUCCUUUCCUUCUUGGUUGGGUUCCUCGCAGCUUACUGGGCCAGCAUCGGUUUGGAUGGUAGGAUAAUGACUAAGGAAUGUGGCUCUACUUCGGUGGAGUGUUAUAGCCUUGGUUGAUACUGCCUGUCUAGACCGAGGACUGCGUCUUGACUAUGAUGCUGCA